RNAcentral lists this ribosomal RNA (93 nucleotides) under Barnesiella sp. An22. RNAcentral's name for it is "partial 23S ribosomal RNA". It matches the Rfam family "Bacterial large subunit ribosomal RNA", at positions 1 to 93 of the family's 2925-position model. The record is from RNAcentral. Lineage: Bacteria; Pseudomonadati; Bacteroidota; Bacteroidia; Bacteroidales; Barnesiellaceae.
AAGAAAGUAAGAAAGGGCGCAUGGGGGAUGCCUAGGCUCUCGGAGGCGAAGAAGGACGUGAUAAGCUGCGAAAAGUUACGGAGAGGCGCAAAU